This 253-nucleotide ribosomal RNA is filed under the name uncultured bacterium. Its description in RNAcentral is "partial 16S ribosomal RNA". It matches the Rfam family "Bacterial small subunit ribosomal RNA", at positions 524 to 776 of the family's 1533-position model. The record is from RNAcentral.
UACGUAGGGUGCGAGCGUUGUCCGGAAUUAUUGGGCGUAAAGGGCUCGUAGGCGGUCUGUUGCGUCGGGAGUGAAAACUCAGGGCUUAACCCUGAGCCUGCUUCCGAUACGGGCAGACUAGAGGUAUGCAGGGGAGACUGGAAUUCCUGGUGUAGCGGUGAAAUGCGCAGAUAUCAGGAGGAACACCGGUGGCGAAGGCGGGUCUCUGGGCCGAUACUGACGCUGAGGAGCGAAAGCGUGGGGAGCGAACAGG